UACGUAGGUGGCGAGCGUUGUCCGGAUUUAUUGGGCGUAAAGCGAGCGCAGGUGGUUUAUUAAGUCUGGUGUAAAAGGCAGUGGCUCAACCAUUGUAUGCAUUGGAAACUGGUAGACUUGAGUGCAGGAGAGGAGAGUGGAAUUCCAUGUGUAGCGGUGAAAUGCGUAGAUAUAUGGAGGAACACCGGUGGCGAAAGCAGCUCUCUGGCCUGUAACUGACACUGAGGCUCGAAAGCGUGGGGAGCAAACAGG
Molecule: ribosomal RNA, 252 nt
Filed under: uncultured bacterium
Lineage: Bacteria
Description: partial 16S ribosomal RNA
Rfam family: Bacterial small subunit ribosomal RNA
Source: RNAcentral